UUUCUCUGGGCUCUAAGGAGGUGGGUGGAAACACAAGGUUAUCUGAGGGAAGCAACUCCAUGGGCCUUGCCAUGCCUGCCCCAGCACAGGAGGGCAGUGCU
Molecule: long non-coding RNA, 101 nt
Filed under: Macaca mulatta (Rhesus monkey)
Lineage: Eukaryota; Metazoa; Chordata; Mammalia; Primates; Cercopithecidae
Description: lncRNA (ENSMMUG00000053965.1)
Source: RNAcentral